UACGUAGGUGGCAAGCGUUAUCCGGAAUUACUGGGCGUAAAGCGCACGCAGGCGGUCUGUUAAGUUUGACGUGAAAGCUCCCGGCUUAACUGGGAGAGGUCGUUGAAGACUGGCAGACUUGAGGCAAUGAGAGGGGUGUAGAAUUCCAGGUGUAGUGGUGGAAUGCGUAGAUAUCUGGAGGAAUACCAGUGGCGAAAGCGGCACCCUAGCGUUGUUCUGACGCUCAUGUGCGAAAGCGUGGGGAGCGAACGGG
RNAcentral lists this ribosomal RNA (253 nucleotides) under uncultured Caldilinea sp. Its description in RNAcentral is "partial 16S ribosomal RNA". It matches the Rfam family "Bacterial small subunit ribosomal RNA", at positions 524 to 776 of the family's 1533-position model. The record is from RNAcentral. Lineage: Bacteria; Bacillati; Chloroflexota; Caldilineae; Caldilineales; Caldilineaceae.